CCUACGGGAGGCUGCAGUGGGGAAUAUUGGACAAUGGGGGCAACCCUGAUCCAGCCAUGCCGCGUGUGUGAAGAAGGCCCUCGGGUUGUAAAGCACUUUCAGUGAGGAAGAACGCCUGGUGGUUAAUACCCAUCAGGAAAGACAUCACUCACAGAAGAAGCACCGGCUAACUCCGUGCCAGCAGCCGCGGUAAUACGGAGGGUGCGAGCGUUAAUCGGAAUUACUGGGCGUAAAGCGCGCGUAGGUGGCUUGAUAAGCCGGUUGUGAAAGCCCCGGGCUCAACCUGGGAACGGCAUCUGGAACUGUCAAGCUAGAGUGCAGGAGAGGAAGGUAGAAUUCCCGGUGUAGCGGUGAAAUGCGUAGAGAUCGGGAGGAAUACCAGUGGCGAAGGCGGCCUUCUGGACUGACACUGACACUGAGGUGCGAAAGCGUGGGUAGCAAACAGGAUUAGAUACCCGAGUAGUC
This 465-nucleotide ribosomal RNA is filed under the name Vreelandella stevensii. Its description in RNAcentral is "partial 16S ribosomal RNA". It matches the Rfam family "Bacterial small subunit ribosomal RNA", at positions 338 to 795 of the family's 1533-position model. Lineage: Bacteria; Pseudomonadati; Pseudomonadota; Gammaproteobacteria; Oceanospirillales; Halomonadaceae. The record is from RNAcentral.